GACGAACCGUACGAACGUUAUUCGGAAUCACUGGGCUUAAAGGGUGCGUAGGCUGUGCAGAAAGUUGGGUGUGAAAUACCUCGGCUUAACCGAGGAACGGCACUCAAUACUACUGUGCUCGAGGGAGACAGAGGUGAGCGGAACUUAGGGUGGAGCGGUGAAAUGCGUUGAUAUCCUAAGGAACACCGGUGGCGAAAGCGGCUCACUGGGUCUCUUCUGACGCUGAGGCACGAAAGCUAGGGUAGCGAACGGG
Molecule: ribosomal RNA, 253 nt
Filed under: uncultured bacterium
Lineage: Bacteria
Description: partial 16S ribosomal RNA
Rfam family: Bacterial small subunit ribosomal RNA
Source: RNAcentral